Long non-coding RNA from Carassius gibelio (silver crucian carp), 1625 nucleotides. RefSeq lists it as uncharacterized. Lineage: Eukaryota; Metazoa; Chordata; Actinopteri; Cypriniformes; Cyprinidae. The record is from RefSeq and is a predicted model, not a curated record. The transcript is spliced from 3 exons.
AAGUGUUUGAAAAAUCAGCCCAUUUGUUGUCUUCAGUGUCACAAUGCUACAAAGCAGAAGACCUCUAUGGCUAUCCUGGAGAAUGUAGACAACGCAGCACACAAUGGACAUCAUGUGGACACUUAGACUUGUCAGUGAAUCCAAGAGCACGUUUGCCAGCCGGCAGGCCAGUGCCCUCACAUCCACAUUGACGUCCCUCGAGCUGUCAGAUCUGGGCUGGCUGGCUUUGAAACCGGUCUGGAAGCAUGCAAAUUGGAUUACGUCCUGCUUUCCUGCUAUCCUACACCAUUUCUGGGUUGUGUUUGUGCUGUAAGCUUUACCGCAGAGCAGAGCGAGAGAAAGUAGGGGGUGAAUCUGGGCAUUAGCAUUCCAAAAGUCACAUGUGACAUGGCUUCAGCCAAUCACUGGACGUUAUGCUUUCAUGACCCUCCCCCUUCUUCCUAAAUCCCUCCCCUGCUUCUUGUUCUGUCAGUCUACCAGCACCAUGGCAACACAAAGGGCUUUAAUGCCUCUUUAGGAUUUCAUGGCGGCUCGCUUGAAAUGCAUGUUGAAAAGUUUACUGACGCAAGCGAGAAGUGUAUGAAUGAUGCCUUCAAUAAUGAUCUGUUUACUCAUUAAUUGUUUGACCUGUGACCUGUUUGGUUACAUUUUAAGGAUUUAUUAAUCUUGGUUAAUGUUACUUUUGUAAAUACUAAUAGAUAAACAUCUGGAGUUAUGUUAACUAACCUAAGCUAGUGUAUUAUGAAUUAACAUAAUGCAUAAUAACAAUAAUUAUUUAUUUAAAAGAUUAAUAAUUACUGUAAAAAUAGCUGUUCUUUGUUCGCAAUGCAUGUCCUAAUAUUAACAAAUUGAAUCUUGUUUUAAAGGGUUGCCAAAUAAUGAAAUAAUGACGCAUAAAAUCUUUUGAAUUUAUUCCAUGUUUGAUAUUGUAUUAUCUUAAGUAAUUUUUUCUUCAAUCUCUAUCUCAGUUUUUUUUUUAGAUAAAGACAAUGCUAACAUCCCAUGAGCCGCUGGCUUCUGUGUAGGCAAUUGGGUUGCAAUAUAUGCAAAUAUAUUCAAAUAAUGGAGCACCGAGAUCACAGUAAAACACAGUCCUCGGGGGCCUGGGGUUAAGCUGAUUGGUUGCAAGGCUAAUUCCGAGUGUCUUGAUUGGUCCAGAGGGUGAUUGGCCUUAAUGUCAGUGGUCAUGUGUUUGUUCCUCAUCAUGGGGGGAGGUGGAAGCCACUGGAAAAUAUCUAGCAUGUCCAUGUAUUUUUAAAUGCAAGGCUGCAAUAUUUUAUUACCAAAAAAUACAGUACAUUUAUAUACCCUGAUAUGAACGCCUUAGCAACUGCUACCCUAGUGUUGUACCUUAAGGUGUUGAGUUUUAGACCAACAAGCACUGCUUAUAUGUUCUUAAGAACAUUUUUAAAUCUUGUGUAUUUUUCAACACUUAUGAUUUAUCAUAAGGCAGAGCAGAUGGAUCCAAAAUAGCAAUUUAUUUAACAUAAAAUUAAAUUGAUUGUAGCUAAUGAGAAGAGUUUGUGUAUUACAUGCCUUGUCUUUUUAUCAUUCUCUUGGAAAUCAUUAUUAUAAUUCAGCAAUAUGAUUGCUAUGUACAAACCAUAUUUUACACUUUAUUUUAA